AAAGGGUGCGUAGGCGGCCUGUUAAGUCAGCGGUGAAAUCUAGGAGCUUAACUCCUAAAUUGCCAUUGAUACUGGCGGGCUUGAGUGUAGAUGAGGUAGGCGGAAUGCGUGGUGUAGCGGUGGAAUGCAUAGAUAUCACGCAGAACUCCGAUUGCGAAGGCAGCUUACUAAGGUACAACUGACGCUGAAGCACGAAAGCGUGGGUAUCAAACAGGAUUAGAUACCCUGGUAGUCCACGCAGUAAACGAUGAUAACUGGGCGUAUGCGAUAUACAGUAUGCUCCUAAGCGAAAGCGUUAAGUUAUCCACCUGGGGAGUACGCCGGCAACGGUGAAACUCAAAGGAAUUGACGGGGGCCCGCACAAGCGGAGGAACAUGUGGUUUAAUUCGAUGAUACGCGAGGAACCUUACCCGGGAUUGAAAUGUAGAUGACCGCUCCUGAAAGGGAGUUUUCCUUCGGGACAUCUAUGUAGGUGCUGCAUGGUUGUCGUCAGCUCGUGUCGUGA
This 505-nucleotide ribosomal RNA is filed under the name uncultured bacterium. RNAcentral describes it as "bacterial SSU rRNA". It matches the Rfam family "Bacterial small subunit ribosomal RNA", at positions 562 to 1070 of the family's 1533-position model. The record is from RNAcentral.